GCUCUCCCAGUUAGCUGUUAUCUGCUAGCUGUUAGCUUCUCAUUCAGUGACGCUAUCACUGUGCAAGCCACAGACAUCAUUUGGCCCGUUUCCAUGUAGUUACAUAGUCCCUGAUUUGGUCAUAACCACUACAGUGUUCAAUUACCUGUUUUUGAGGGGGAA
Long non-coding RNA from Etheostoma spectabile (orangethroat darter), 162 nucleotides. RefSeq lists it as uncharacterized. The transcript has 3 exons. The record is from RefSeq and is a predicted model, not a curated record. NCBI's taxonomy places the organism in Eukaryota, Metazoa, Chordata, Actinopteri, Perciformes, Percidae.